AGCUGUCCUUAGUACGAGAGGACCGGGAUGGACGGACCGCUGGUGCAUCUGCUGGAUACCAAAUCCACGACAGAGUAGCCAAGUCCGGAUCGGAUAAACGCUGAAGGCAUCUAAGCGUGAAGCCGACUCCAAGAUGAGAUAUCCAAGAGGCUACGAGCCUCGGGAGACCCCCUGAAGAGUACAGGGUAGAUAGGAUGGAGGUAGAAGUGCAGUGAUGCAUGUAGCUGACCAUUACUAAUAGGUCGAGUGCUUGUCCAA
This 258-nucleotide ribosomal RNA is filed under the name Lachnospiraceae bacterium KH1T2. Its description in RNAcentral is "Bacterial large subunit ribosomal RNA". It matches the Rfam family "Bacterial large subunit ribosomal RNA", at positions 2670 to 2925 of the family's 2925-position model. Lineage: Bacteria; Bacillati; Bacillota; Clostridia; Lachnospirales; Lachnospiraceae. The record is from Rfam by way of RNAcentral.